RNAcentral lists this transfer RNA (69 nucleotides) under Marmota monax (woodchuck). Its description in RNAcentral is "tRNA.Ala". The record is from RNAcentral. Lineage: Eukaryota; Metazoa; Chordata; Mammalia; Rodentia; Sciuridae.
GAGUUGGGUUCAAUGGUAGAGUAUUUGCUUAGCAUGCCUGAGGCUCUGGGUUAAAUCCCCAGCAACACA